Molecule: unclassified non-coding RNA, 299 nt
Filed under: Zea mays
Lineage: Eukaryota; Viridiplantae; Streptophyta; Magnoliopsida; Poales; Poaceae
Description: misc RNA Zm00001eb274270
Source: RNAcentral
GGCCGCUCAUCUCCCUGCUGCCGCGUCCCUGCGCCCGGCCUUCGUCCCCGUCGCGCCGAUCCGCGCUCGCCCAGGUCGCCCGCCGUCGCCCAGCUCGGUGCCUUCCCUGCUCCUCCAAGCCGGCGUCCUCUGCCCUCAUCUUCUUCCUCAGCCGGCCGAGGUCCUUCCCAUGGCGCCCCUCCCUGCUCCCGUGCACGUGCCCCCCUGGUGGUCGGAGCUCGCCAACGCCAGUUGUUCCUCCACACACACCUCCUGCUCCCCUCGCCAUGGCAUGGAUGACCGCUGUAUCUGCUCCUGUC